This 598-nucleotide long non-coding RNA is filed under the name Phasianus colchicus (ring-necked pheasant). RNAcentral's name for it is "lncRNA (ENSPCLG00000012994.1)". The record is from RNAcentral. Lineage: Eukaryota; Metazoa; Chordata; Aves; Galliformes; Phasianidae.
AUGUUUAAGAAGAAAAGAAGAAAAGUCAGGAUGGGAAGUUUUCUGGUUUCCUGCAUUGUAGAAGAGGCUCUGCAGCGUGAACAGCUACUCACUUUCUGGAGCAAUGUCAAGCAGAGAAGACCUCGUCUGUUGUCCCCUGCUGCAAGGACAGACAGGAGCUGCAUGCCACCUGAGUUCAUUAGUAGGUCAGAUUACCUGCAGGAGGCAAGUAGACACCAAGCCCGGGUCCCAGUGACAACACUGACCUUAAGCAUUCCUGGAACUGUGGUCUCAUGAAUAAGGAAACUCGCAUUGUGCACAAAGAAUGUGAAAAAACAUUUGCCUACAGAACUGAUCCUGUAAGUAAAGCUGCUGUAAAGCUUUACGCUUUCAGACUCAGUCUAACCCAUGAAGUCUCAGCCAACAUGUCAGUUGUUACAAAAGGCACUUGUGAUAUUCACUGUGCUUCUAAAAUGAGGUUGCUUUUUGUGAAAGUGCAGUGACCAGUAACACAAGCUCGUCGGAUGCAUUAUGUCUUGACACCCAUCCAGGUAAAGCAGCAGAGAUGACGGAUAGUUUGGCAGAACUAGUGCAGUUAGCAUAUGAAAGGAUAUCUAUA